This 120-nucleotide ribosomal RNA is filed under the name uncultured bacterium. RNAcentral's name for it is "partial 16S ribosomal RNA". It matches the Rfam family "Bacterial small subunit ribosomal RNA", at positions 28 to 141 of the family's 1533-position model. The record is from RNAcentral.
GACGAACGCUGGCGGCGUGCCUAAUACAUGCAAGUCGAGCGAACAGAUGAGGAGCUUGCUCCUUAAGAUGUUAGCGGCGGACGGGUGAGUAACACGUGGGCAACCUGCCCUAUAGUUUGG